RNAcentral lists this transfer RNA (82 nucleotides) under Pangasianodon hypophthalmus (striped catfish). RNAcentral's name for it is "tRNA-Asp". The record is from RNAcentral. Lineage: Eukaryota; Metazoa; Chordata; Actinopteri; Siluriformes; Pangasiidae.
UCCCUGGUGGUGUAGUGGCUAAUGAAUACGGUGAUCCCGCGCUGUCACUGCGGCGGCCUGGGUUCGAUUCCCGGGCAGGGAA